CGAGGUGUAGCAUAAGUGGGAGUCGGGGGUCUAGGCGGGCGGUUUCGGCCGUUCGUCUCCCCGUCGACCUUGAAAUACCACUACUCGCAUCGUUUCCCCACUUACUCGGUAGAGCGGAACGCGCGG
This 126-nucleotide ribosomal RNA is filed under the name Leptocylindrus danicus. Its description in RNAcentral is "partial Eukaryotic large subunit ribosomal RNA". Lineage: Eukaryota; Bacillariophyta; Leptocylindrophyceae; Leptocylindrales; Leptocylindraceae. The record is from RNAcentral.